Molecule: unclassified non-coding RNA, 274 nt
Filed under: Hevea brasiliensis (rubber tree)
Lineage: Eukaryota; Viridiplantae; Streptophyta; Magnoliopsida; Malpighiales; Euphorbiaceae
Source: RNAcentral
UUUCUGAGAAUUUUCGAAAAUGAGUUAUUUUCUUUUUUCAUCAUGCAAUCACCAAGAUAACUUUACUUUUGUCCUAAAGCUGACACAGCAAUCUACAACAACUGAUAAGGAGAAAAGUCAUUGUUUUUGUCUAAGAAAAGGAUAGAACAUUACAUUUUAUGCACGCAAGCAUGAGGACAUACAUUAGCCAAACUCAAAACAGACAAAUGAGCACACUGUACACAGUUGUAUGUCUUUACCACAAAUUAAAUGUAUUGUCUUUUCAUCAUAUGAG